AGCGCAUAUUGCGCUCUUUGGUAUUCCGAAGAGCAUGCUUGUUUGAGUAUCAGUAAACACCUCAAAUCCUUCAAUUUGUUUUGAAGGCUUUGGACUUGAGCAAUCCCAACACCAGUCUUUACGAUCGGUGGAGGGUUGCUUGAAAUGCAGGUGCAGCUGGACAUUCUCCUGAGCUAUAAGCAUAUUUAUUUAGUCCCGUCAAACGGAUUAUUACUUUUGCUGCAGCUAACAUAAAGGGAGUCUGACCAUAUUGGCUGACUGAUGCAGGAUUUCACAAGGGUCGGCAACGAUUCUUGUAAAACUCGAUCUCAAAUCAAGUAAGACUACCCGCUGAACUUAA
Molecule: unclassified non-coding RNA, 340 nt
Filed under: uncultured Mortierellales
Lineage: Eukaryota; Fungi; Mortierellomycota; Mortierellomycetes; Mortierellales
Description: sequence contains ITS2
Source: RNAcentral